This 268-nucleotide long non-coding RNA is filed under the name Fukomys damarensis (Damara mole-rat). RNAcentral describes it as "lncRNA (ENSFDAG00000031933.1)". The record is from RNAcentral. Lineage: Eukaryota; Metazoa; Chordata; Mammalia; Rodentia; Bathyergidae.
CCUAGGUCUUCAAGGACUUCAGAAAGUUGUCUGCUCUACCUUUGAAAUGUCUAGAAUCUGACCAUCUUUCCAUAUCCUCUACCCACAAAUCCAUCCUCCUCACCGUCACUCCUUCCUUACUGAUUUCACGUAUGAGAAAAAACACAUUGGUCUUUCUGAAUCUAGCUUAUUUUGCUGAAAAUCAGCUUAACGUGCUUCAAAGGAAACGAAGUGAAGAGACAGCCUACAGAAUAGGAGAAAAUCUUUGCUAGUUAAUCUUCCAGCCGAG